This 678-nucleotide ribosomal RNA is filed under the name uncultured archaeon. RNAcentral describes it as "bacterial SSU rRNA". It matches the Rfam family "Archaeal small subunit ribosomal RNA", at positions 321 to 1001 of the family's 1478-position model. The record is from RNAcentral.
CCCUAUGGGGUGCAGCAGUUAGGAAUUGUGCCCAAUGCGCGAAAGCGUGAGACCGCGAAUCUGAGUGCCAGGGAGAACCCUGGCUGUGAUGGAGUGUUCGUAGCUCCAACAGCAAGCAGAGGGCAAGGCUGGUGCCAGCCGCCGCGGUAAAACCAGCUCUGCGAGUGCCUAGGACGAUUAUUGGGCUUAAAGCAUCCGUAGCCGGGUCAGUAGGUCUCUGGUUAAAUCUGCAAGCUUAACUUGUAGGCUGUCAGAGAUACCGCUAACCUAGGGAAUAGGAGAGGUGAACGGUACUGCAGGAGAAGCGGUGAAAUGCGUUGAUUCCUGCAGGACCCACAGUGGCGAAGGCGGUUCACUAGAAUAUCUCCGACGGUGAUGGAUGAAAGCCAGGGGAGCGAAAGGGAUUAGAGACCCCUGUAGUCCUGGCCGUAAACGAUGAGGAUUAGGUGUUGGUCAUGGCUAAGGGCCUGGUCAGUGCCAAAGGGAAACUAUUAAAUCCUCCGCCUGGGGAGUACGGUCGCAAGGCUGAAACUUAAAUGAAUUGACGGGAAAGCGCCACCAGGCACGGGAUGUGUGGUUUAAUUCGACUCAACGCGAGGAAACUCACCUGGGGCGACUGUUACAUGUGUGUCAGCUGAAGACCUUACACGAAUAAACAGAGAAGAAGUGCAUGGCCAA